AUUGAACGCUGGCGGCAGGCCUAACACAUGCAAGUCGAACGGUAACAGGAAGAAGCUUGCUUCUUUGCUGACGAGUGGCGGACGGGUGAGUAAUGUCUGGGAAACUGCCUGAUGGAGGGGGAUAACUACUGGAAACGGUAGCUAAUACCGCAUAACGUCGCAAGACCAAAGAGGGGGACCUUCGGGCCUCUUGCCAUCGGCUGUGCCCAGCUGGGAUUAGCUAGUAGGUGGGGUAACGGCUCACCUAGGCGACGAUCCCUAGCUGGUCUGAGAGGAUGACCAGCCACACUGGAACUGAGACACGGUCCAGACUCCUACGGGAGGCAGCAGUGGGGAAUAUUGCACAAUGGGCGCAAGCCUGAUGCAGCCAUGCCGCGUGUAUGAAGAAGGCCUUCGGGUUGUAAAGUACUUUCAGCGGGGAGGAAGGGAGUAAAGUUAAUACCUUUGCUCAUUGACGUUACCCGCAGAAGAAGCACCGGCUAACUCCGUG
This 490-nucleotide ribosomal RNA is filed under the name uncultured bacterium. Its description in RNAcentral is "partial 16S ribosomal RNA". It matches the Rfam family "Bacterial small subunit ribosomal RNA", at positions 30 to 507 of the family's 1533-position model. The record is from RNAcentral.